UGCCCAGCAACUCCUAUCCCAACAUCCUCGUGGUACUGACCAGGGUACGAGUAACCUUAAGGAAGAUCUGGUAAUCAACCCUAGUGGGAACUUUGGUCGUAUGCUGACAGGGAAAG
Molecule: non-coding RNA, 116 nt
Organism: Aedes aegypti (yellow fever mosquito)
Lineage: Eukaryota; Metazoa; Arthropoda; Insecta; Diptera; Culicidae
Source: Rfam